RNAcentral lists this ribosomal RNA (253 nucleotides) under uncultured bacterium. RNAcentral describes it as "partial 16S ribosomal RNA". It matches the Rfam family "Bacterial small subunit ribosomal RNA", at positions 524 to 776 of the family's 1533-position model. The record is from RNAcentral.
UACAGAGGUCUCAAGCGUUGUUCGGAUUCAUUGGGCGUAAAGGGUGCGUAGGUGGCGGGGUUAGUCAGGUGUGAAAUCUCGGGGCUCAACCCCGAGACUGCACUUGAUACUGCCUUGCUAGAGUACUGGAGAGGAGAUUGGAAUUUACGGUGUAGCAGUGAAAUGCGUAGAUAUCGUAAGGAAGACCAGUGGCGAAGGCGAAUCUCUGGACAGUUACUGACACUGAGGCACGAAGGCCAGGGGAGCAAACGGG